This is a long non-coding RNA of Musa acuminata AAA Group (dessert banana), 861 nucleotides long. RefSeq lists it as uncharacterized. NCBI's taxonomy places the organism in Eukaryota, Viridiplantae, Streptophyta, Magnoliopsida, Zingiberales, Musaceae. The transcript has 2 exons. The record is from RefSeq and is a predicted model, not a curated record.
ACUAGCCAAUGAAGAUCACGUGCGAAGCACGUGAGAAUAACUCAGUAGCGGCUUUCGCUCUCGAUGCCGCGCGUCGUCGGUUUAGGGUCACGGCAACGGUGAGAAGACCGCAACAGAGAGCCCGGCCUCACAGUGAGAAGGACACACCCGAGUCUCUGUCGAGAAGAAAUGGAUCACAAAUCUCGAGAAAUUAUUGGGCGAUGAUUCGGGCUCGUCCACUCACACACACAUUUGGUGUGAUGUCAAGCGGUGGCAUCGCCGUCGCAUUUAAGCUCCGAAAGUGGAGUUUGUCAGCUUCUUCCUGACUUUGGCUCUCAUGCUUGGUGGCAGGGCCUCGGACAAGCCUCUGCCAUGGUCCUUGGACUCGUGCAAUCACUGUAGAAGAAGCAAAGCAAGCAGAUAGUUUAGAUCUUGUGUUCGCCGUAGAAGGAACCAAGACACUGUGGUAGAAUGUGAUCGGGGCAAAUGCUUUAGAGACAAGUGGCUGGUCUUACGCUUACAUGUCCGCUGGUUAUGCAUAGAAUUCUUUACAUGAGAUGAUUUAGAACAAUGACUCGAGACCGGAACUGAAAGCUACAUUGCAGGUCCUGAUGCAAAGAUACAAGCUGGAUUAUGACAUGAAAGAGGAGGAGAUGGACUUGAGGAUUGGGUUCCAUCCCGGCCAAUCUAAUCUUGUUCUCUAAAAUAUCAAAUGCCAGAGUUCUUCUAAAGCAAUUAAGAGGAGAUUUGAUAUUUCCCAAGUCUUACCUUAGAAGAGAAUUUAUGAAAUUGAUCUUAUUUACCAUUUGAUUAUUUUUUAUCCUGUAAAAUGAGUUAGAGAACAACAAAACAAACAUACAUACAUACAAAAUUCUUUUUUCA